This 789-nucleotide ribosomal RNA is filed under the name Campylobacter jejuni. Its description in RNAcentral is "partial 23S ribosomal RNA". It matches the Rfam family "Bacterial large subunit ribosomal RNA", at positions 1 to 807 of the family's 2925-position model. The record is from RNAcentral. Lineage: Bacteria; Pseudomonadati; Campylobacterota; Epsilonproteobacteria; Campylobacterales; Campylobacteraceae.
AAAGGUAAGCUACUAAGAGCGAAUGGUGGAUGCCUUGACUGGUAAAGGCGAUGAAGGACGUACUAGACUGCGAUAAGCUACGGGGAGCUGUCAAGAAGCUUUGAUCCGUAGAUUUCCGAAUGGGGCAACCCAAUGUAUAGAGAUAUACAUUACCUAUAUAGGAGCGAACGAGGGGAAUUGAAACAUCUUAGUACCCUCAGGAAAAGAAAUCAAUAGAGAUUGCGUCAGUAGCGGCGAGCGAAAGCGCAAGAGGGCAAACCCAGUGCUUGCACUGGGGGUUGUAGGACUGCAAUGUGCAAGAGGUAAGUUUAGCAGAACAUUCUGGAAAGUAUAACCAUAGAGGGUGAUAGUCCCGUAUGCGAAAAACAAACCUUAGCUAGCAGUAUCCUGAGUAGGGCGGGACACGAGGAAUCCUGUCUGAAUCCGGGUCGACCACGAUCCAACCCUAAAUACUAAUACCAGAUCGAUAGUGCACAAGUACCGUGAGGGAAAGGUGAAAAGAACUGAGGUGAUCAGAGUGAAAUAGAACCUGAAACCAUUUGCUUACAAUCAUUCAGAGCCCUAUGUAGCAAUACAGGGUGAUGGACUGCCUUUUGCAUAAUGAGCCUGCGAGUUGUGGUGUCUGGCAAGGUUAAGCAAACGCGAAGCCGUAGCGAAAGCGAGUCUGAAUAGGGCGCUUAGUCAGAUGCUGCAGACCCGAAACGAAGUGAUCUAUCCAUGAGCAAGUUGAAGCUAGUGUAAGAACUAGUGGAGGACUGAACCCAUAGGCGUUGAAAAGCCCCGGGAUGA